This 100-nucleotide signal recognition particle RNA is filed under the name Lachnospiraceae bacterium. RNAcentral's name for it is "signal recognition particle sRNA small type". It matches the Rfam family "Bacterial small signal recognition particle RNA". Rfam says of the family: The signal recognition particle (SRP) is a universally conserved ribonucleoprotein involved in the co-translational targeting of proteins to membranes. Archaeal SRP consists of a 7S RNA and homologues of the eukaryotic SRP19 and SRP54 proteins. The record is from RNAcentral. Lineage: Bacteria; Bacillati; Bacillota; Clostridia; Lachnospirales; Lachnospiraceae.
ACCUUGGUCUCACGCAAUGUACGCUCACGAACCGUGUCAGGUCGGGAACGAAGCAGCACUAAGAGAGAUUGUGCAUGUGCCGUGAGGGUGCCGGGGUCUG